Molecule: ribosomal RNA, 444 nt
Filed under: uncultured bacterium
Lineage: Bacteria
Description: bacterial SSU rRNA
Rfam family: Bacterial small subunit ribosomal RNA
Source: RNAcentral
GAUUAACGCUGACGGUAUGCCUUAUACAUGCAAGUCGAACGGUAAGGUCUCUUCGGAGAUACACGAGUGGCGGACGGGUGAGUAACGCGUAGGAAUAUGCCCUUUAGUGGGGGACAACCAAGAGAAAUUUUGGCUAAUACCCCAUAUGUCGAGAGAUGAAAGAUUUAUCGCUAGAGGAGUAGCCUGCGUUUGAUUAGCUAGUUGGUGGGGUAAAAGCUCACCAAGGCGACGAUCAAUAGCUGGUUUGAGAGGAUGACCAGCCACAAUGGGACUGAGAUACGGCCCAUACUCCUACGGGAGGCAGCAGUAGGGAAUUUUGCGCAAUGGGCGAAAGCCUGACGCAGCAAUACCGUGUGCGGGAAGACGCUCUGUGGAGUGUAAACCGCUGUCAGAUGGGAAGAAUCAAUGACUGUACCAUCAAAGGAAGGACCGGCUAACUCUGUG